Molecule: ribosomal RNA, 211 nt
Filed under: Borneomymar madagascar
Lineage: Eukaryota; Metazoa; Arthropoda; Insecta; Hymenoptera; Mymaridae
Description: partial 28S ribosomal RNA
Rfam family: Eukaryotic large subunit ribosomal RNA
Source: RNAcentral
UUUCCCUCAGGAUAGCUGGCACUCGCGUGAGCGAGUCUCAUCUGGUAAAGCGAAUGAUUAGAGGCCUUGGGGCCGAAACGACCUCAACCUAUUCUCAAACUUUAAAUGGGUGAGAUCUCUGGCUUGCUUGAACAUUGAAGCCACGAGAUAUUGAAAUUGGAUCAGAGUGCCAAGUGGGCCAAUUUUGGUAAGCAGAACUGGCGCUGUGGGA